UCAGCUAAGUGGCGGACGGGUGAGUAAUGUAUAGUUAAUCUGCCCUUUAGAGAGGAAUAACAGUUAGAAAUGACUGCUAAUACCUCAUACUCCUUCUUUCUUAAUGGAAGUUGGGAAACGUUUUUUCGCUAAAGGAUGAGACUAUAUGGUAUCAGGUAGUUGGUGGGGUAAGAGCCCACCAAGCCAAUGACGCCUAGCUGGUCUGAGAGGAUGAUCAGCCACACUGGAACUGAGACACGGUCCAGACUCCUACGGGAGGCAGCAGUGGGGAAUAUUGCACAAUGGAGGAAACUCUGAUGCAGCAACGCCGCGUGGAGGAUGACACAUUUCGGUGCGUAAACUCCUUUUAUAUGGGAAGAUAAUGACGGUACCAUAUGAAUAAGCACCGGCUAACUCCGUGCCAGCAGCCGCGAUAAUACGGAGGGUGCAAGCGUUACUCGGAAUCACUGGGCGUAAAGCGCGCGCAGGCGGCUAUUUAAGUUGGAUGUGAAAGCCUACGGCUCAACCGUAGAACUGCAUCCAAAACUGUUUAGCUAGAGUGUGGGAGAGGAAGAUGGAAUUAGUUGUGUAGGGGUAAAAUCCGUAGAGAUAACUAGGAAUACCAAAAGCGAAGGCAAUCUUCUGGAACACUACUGACGCUGAGGCGCGAAGGCGUGGGGAGCAAACAGGAUUAGAUACCCUGGUAGUCCACGCAGUAAACGAUGAAUGUUAGUCGUCGGGUAGCUAGUCUAUUCGGUGAUGCAGCUAACGCAUUAAACAUUCCGCCUGGGGAGUACGGUCGCAAGAUUAAAACUCAAAGGAAUAGACGGGGACCCGCACAAGUGGUGGAGCAUGUGGUUUAACUCGAAGAUACGCGAAGAACCUUACCUAGCCUUGACAUAUAUUAGAACACCCUAGAGAUAGAGUGGUGCCUUCGGGAGCUUUUAUACAGGUGCUGCACGGCUGUCGUCAGCUCGUGUCGUGAGAUGUUGGGUUAAGUCCCGCAACGAGCGCAACCCUCGUCACUAGUUACUAACGGUUCGGCCGAGGACUCUAGUGAGACUGCCUUGUAAGGAGGAGGAAGGUGAGGACGACGUCAAGUCAUCAUGGCCCUUACGGCUAGGGCAACACACGUGCUACAAUGGUUGGGACAAUGAGA
RNAcentral lists this ribosomal RNA (1138 nucleotides) under uncultured bacterium. RNAcentral describes it as "bacterial SSU rRNA". It matches the Rfam family "Bacterial small subunit ribosomal RNA", at positions 87 to 1247 of the family's 1533-position model. The record is from RNAcentral.